UUUUGAAAAAGUUUCGUGUCCUCUGCAAGCCUCGACGAGCUCAACGUAUUGUUGAAGUUAAUUGGCACCCUCCACUUAUUGGUUGGGUAAAGAUUAAUACAGAUGGUGAUUGGUGUAGCUCUUCUGAUCAUGCGUGCUAUGGAGAAAUCUUUAGAGAUUACAGAGGUACUAUUAUGGGUGUUUUUUGCUCUAAUCUUAAUAUUCCAAGCUAUGUGGCAACGAAAGUUAUAGCAGUUAUUAAGGAUAUUGAGUUGGUCAGGGUGCGGGAUUGGAAACAUAUAUGGUUAGAAGUUGACUCAGCUCUUGUCCUUUCAUUUAUUCAUUCUCCUCACUUAGUACCCUGACAACUUCGAAUUAAGUGGCACAAUUGUUAAUUUGUACCGUAUAUCUUAGAUGCAAUUUCGUUCUUCACACAUUUAUCGAGAAGGAAACCAAUCUGUUGAUGUGCUAGCUAACUUAGGUAUCAAUUCAGACGGUUUGACAUGGUGGGACAUGUCCCCGGAUCUUAUUCGUUUUCAUUGUUGAAGGGAUUAUUUGAGCCUUCAUAAUUUUCGUUUUCGCUAAGGUUCAAUUUCUUAUUGUUUUCAUUGUUGUUCUUUCAUAUGGUUAUUUUGAGAAGUUUAGUUUUAUGUCUUAUCAUUUCUUUUGUGUCUUUUUUUUUUUUUUUGUAAAUAAAAUUCAUUAGAGAAUGAGCCGUUUUGGCUGAUCCUAUGUCCAUAUAAAAAAAAAACGAAAAGAAAAGUUCUAGUAUAGUUUAAACAUAUACACACCCAGAAGAGUUCACAGUAACAUUUGCGAUCGACUGAUCGACAUGCAUUAAUAAUAUAUAUGGGUGCUUAGUUGGUGAUAAUAAUUAGCUAAAUGGCCCCCAUAAAUCAAUAAUUCAGUGAAUGAUAUCAUCCAGAGAAUAGAAGAGUGGCUAGCUAGUGAUCAACAUUGAUCCCACCAUAGAGUUCCACCUGGGCAAAACAAGAUAUUCCAUCUCCCC
Molecule: long non-coding RNA, 988 nt
Filed under: Fragaria vesca (wild strawberry)
Lineage: Eukaryota; Viridiplantae; Streptophyta; Magnoliopsida; Rosales; Rosaceae
Description: long non-coding RNA (FVES_LNC003284)
Source: RNAcentral